AGGAGGGUAUGACCAGCUACCCCAUGCUCACAGCUUACCUGCUCCUCUGCCUACACGGUCAGCUCCACUGUGCUGCCCAGAUGAAGUGCAGGGCCCACUUCUGGAGAGUUUCAGCUGGUAAAGGGGAGGGCCAGCUCCCUCGGCAGCUGGAGGUGGUAGGGGCAAGGGAGAAGGGAGUCUUUCCCUCGCCCCCACUACCACAGCGAAGACUAGGGAGGUGGUACCAGCUAGGCCCCUCUCACUUACUCAGGGUGGUUCACCCUUGCCGCUGUCUACGGGGUCAACUCUACUGUGCUGUCCAGAGAAUCCAACUAAAGGGUCUGAACCUCAACAAGAAGCCCCGAGAUUAAGUUCAGGCACUGAUAUGUGACAAGUGGGAAUUCUGAACAACUGUUUAAAGGAAAUCUCUGCUGCCUGGUGUUGAGAUGGAAUGGCUGGAGCUUCAGCAGCCACUGAAACACAAAGGACCUUGGGAAUAAAAGCCGUAUACUGAGGGAGGCAGAGCAAACAACAGAAUAUUAAAAUAUAUGCCGCCA
This is a long non-coding RNA of Mesocricetus auratus (golden hamster), 536 nucleotides long. RefSeq lists it as uncharacterized. The transcript is spliced from 2 exons. The record is from RefSeq and is a predicted model, not a curated record. Lineage: Eukaryota; Metazoa; Chordata; Mammalia; Rodentia; Cricetidae.